CAUAGCGACUAUCGUGGCAUAUCAAUAAGCGGAGGAAAAGAAACUAACAAGGAUUCCCUUAGUAACGGCGAGUGAAGCGGGAAGAGCUCAAAUUUGAAAUCUUCAAUGGUUCUACCUUGACGAAUUGUAGUUUAUAAGAAGUGUUUUCUGUUAGUAGAGUUGGCUAAAAGUUCUUUGGAAUAGGACAUCAUAGAGGGUGAGAAUCCCGUAUUUGAUCCAUUCUUUCUAGCUGUGUGAUACACUUUCAAAGAGUCGGAUUGUUUGGGAAUGCAGUCCAAAAUGGGUGGUAAAUUUCAUCUAAAGCUAAAUAUUGGCGAGAGACCGAUAGCGAACAAGUACCGUGAGGGAAAGAUGAAAAGAACUUUGAAAAGAGAGUUAAACAGUACGUGAAAUUGUCAAAAGGGAAGCGUUUGACACCAGUGUUGUUUUUCCGAAAAUCAAUUAAAAAUUGAUUCAUGCCUAGGUUGUAUUGACCUUAUCAGCUUGCAAUUUAGUUUUGGGUCUCUUUUUGAUGCACUUUUCGGUUAACAAGUCAACAUCAAUUUCCUUUGCUGUAAAAAGGUAAGAGGAAGGUGGCUUCAAUUUCGGUUGAAGUGUUUAUAGCCUUUUAUCUCUGCAGUCGGGGAGAUUGAGGUCUGCAGCGUAGAUCCUUCGGGGCUAGAUACAUUUAUGCUAAGUUAUAGCUUUUCAUAGACAACUUGUUGACUAUGUUUAGUCAUGUAGCUUACUCGUAAGUGCUAUUUUACCUACGCUUGGAUGUUGAUAGUCACAGCGUGUAC
Molecule: ribosomal RNA, 779 nt
Filed under: uncultured Neocallimastigales
Lineage: Eukaryota; Fungi; Neocallimastigomycota; Neocallimastigomycetes; Neocallimastigales
Description: partial large subunit ribosomal RNA
Rfam family: Eukaryotic large subunit ribosomal RNA
Source: RNAcentral